GAUGAACGCUGGCGGCGUGCCUAAUAUAUGCAAGUAGAACGCUGAAGGAAGGAGCUUGCUCUUUCCGGAUGAGUUGCGAACGGGUGAGUAACGCGUAGGUAACCUGCCUGGUAGCGGGGGAUAACUAUUGGAAACGAUAGCUAAUACCGCAUAACAGCAGAUGUUGCAUGAUAUCUACUUAAAAGGUGCAAUUGCACCACUACCAGAUGGACCUGCGUUGUAUUAGCUAGUUGGUGAGGUAACGGCUCACCAAGGCGACGAUGCAUAGCCGACCUGAGAGGGUGAUCGGCCACACUGGGACUGAGACACGGCCCAGACGCCUACGGGAGGCAGCAGGAGGGAAUCUUCGGCAAUGGACGGAAGUCCGACCGAGCAACGCCGCGUGAGUGAAGAAGGUUUUCGGAUCGUAAAGCUCUGUUGUAAGAGAAGAACGAGUGUGAGAGUGGAAAGUUCACACUGUGACGGUAUCUUACCAGAAAGGGACGGCUAACUACGUG
Molecule: ribosomal RNA, 497 nt
Filed under: uncultured bacterium
Lineage: Bacteria
Description: partial 16S ribosomal RNA
Rfam family: Bacterial small subunit ribosomal RNA
Source: RNAcentral